RNAcentral lists this ribosomal RNA (55 nucleotides) under Mucor microsporus. RNAcentral describes it as "partial 28S ribosomal RNA". Lineage: Eukaryota; Fungi; Mucoromycota; Mucoromycetes; Mucorales; Mucoraceae. The record is from RNAcentral.
CUGAAAUCAAGCGGGAUUACCCGCUGAACUUAAGCAUAUCAAUAAGCGGAGGAAA